RNAcentral lists this transfer RNA (74 nucleotides) under Doru luteipes. RNAcentral describes it as "tRNA-Met". The record is from RNAcentral. Lineage: Eukaryota; Metazoa; Arthropoda; Insecta; Dermaptera; Forficulidae.
AAAAAGGUAAGCUAAUCCUAAGCUGUUGGGUUCAUACCCCAAACAUGAAGGUUUGAGAGUUCUUUCCCUUUUUG